This 1440-nucleotide ribosomal RNA is filed under the name Lactiplantibacillus pentosus. Its description in RNAcentral is "bacterial SSU rRNA". It matches the Rfam family "Bacterial small subunit ribosomal RNA". The record is from RNAcentral. RNAcentral also lists the same sequence under 1 other name. Lineage: Bacteria; Bacillati; Bacillota; Bacilli; Lactobacillales; Lactobacillaceae.
UACAUGCAAGUCGAACGAACUCUGGUAUUGAUUGGUGCUUGCAUCAUGAUUUACAUUUGAGUGAGUGGCGAACUGGUGAGUAACACGUGGGAAACCUGCCCAGAAGCGGGGGAUAACACCUGGAAACAGAUGCUAAUACCGCAUAACAACUUGGACCGCAUGGUCCGAGUUUGAAAGAUGGCUUCGGCUAUCACUUUUGGAUGGUCCCGCGGCGUAUUAGCUAGAUGGUGGGGUAACGGCUCACCAUGGCAAUGAUACGUAGCCGACCUGAGAGGGUAAUCGGCCACAUUGGGACUGAGACACGGCCCAAACUCCUACGGGAGGCAGCAGUAGGGAAUCUUCCACAAUGGACGAAAGUCUGAUGGAGCAACGCCGCGUGAGUGAAGAAGGGUUUCGGCUCGUAAAACUCUGUUGUUAAAGAAGAACAUAUCUGAGAGUAACUGUUCAGGUAUUGACGGUAUUUAACCAGAAAGCCACGGCUAACUACGUGCCAGCAGCCGCGGUAAUACGUAGGUGGCAAGCGUUGUCCGGAUUUAUUGGGCGUAAAGCGAGCGCAGGCGGUUUUUUAAGUCUGAUGUGAAAGCCUUCGGCUCAACCGAAGAAGUGCAUCGGAAACUGGGAAACUUGAGUGCAGAAGAGGACAGUGGAACUCCAUGUGUAGCGGUGAAAUGCGUAGAUAUAUGGAAGAACACCAGUGGCGAAGGCGGCUGUCUGGUCUGUAACUGACGCUGAGGCUCGAAAGUAUGGGUAGCAAACAGGAUUAGAUACCCUGGUAGUCCAUACCGUAAACGAUGAAUGCUAAGUGUUGGAGGGUUUCCGCCCUUCAGUGCUGCAGCUAACGCAUUAAGCAUUCCGCCUGGGGAGUACGGCCGCAAGGCUGAAACUCAAAGGAAUUGACGGGGGCCCGCACAAGCGGUGGAGCAUGUGGUUUAAUUCGAAGCUACGCGAAGAACCUUACCAGGUCUUGACAUACUAUGCAAAUCUAAGAGAUUAGACGUUCCCUUCGGGGACAUGGAUACAGGUGGUGCAUGGUUGUCGUCAGCUCGUGUCGUGAGAUGUUGGGUUAAGUCCCGCAACGAGCGCAACCCUUAUUAUCAGUUGCCAGCAUUAAGUUGGGCACUCUGGUGAGACUGCCGGUGACAAACCGGAGGAAGGUGGGGAUGACGUCAAAUCAUCAUGCCCCUUAUGACCUGGGCUACACACGUGCUACAAUGGAUGGUACAACGAGUUGCGAACUCGCGAGAGUAAGCUAAUCUCUUAAAGCCAUUCUCAGUUCGGAUUGUAGGCUGCAACUCGCCUACAUGAAGUCGGAAUCGCUAGUAAUCGCGGAUCAGCAUGCCGCGGUGAAUACGUUCCCGGGCCUUGUACACACCGCCCGUCACACCAUGAGAGUUUGUAACACCCAAAGUCGGUGGGGUAACCUUUUAGGAACCAGCCGCC